CUUACAAAACGAGCUCUAAAUAUCUCUGCUCAUCAAUCACUUUUGUCUGCAUUUGAAACUCUGCUUUCGGUUCUCUCUCUCGAACCCUAAGUUCAGUUGCCAUAGAAAUUUAGCAUCCCUCUGUUCCACCCCAACUCUGUUCCUACGACCACUAGAUAUCGUGCCUCCUAGCCGUUCUUGAAACUUUACUUUCCUCUAAGUUUUUCCACUCAACAGACUUCCGAUCCCACGCAAACCCAUUACACUGGUCGUCCGAUUAACUUCAAUAACACCCCCGUCAGCUUUUUCCUAUUGUUCAGACCUAUCUCAAGCAGGUUUGUUUUAUCAGUUUCUUGAACCCGUUCUUUGUGAUUUCAGUUUCUUGAACCUGUUCUUUGUGAUUUCUUGGGAAAAAAUCGGUAGUUACGUGUUAAGAAUUGAAUUUUAUUUACCAUUUUUAACACCUUUUCAACUUAAAUUAUUGGAAUAUCAUGAUGUCCAUGUCUUUUACUUGAAUUGAUUUCUUUAAUUUGGGAGAACACUACUAGAGAUACAGCAGAUGCGGAGUCAGUUCUGCUGCUCAUUCUUUAAUUGAUUUGAUAACUAACUCUAACAGGUACUUCCUUCCAUGAAUCCACGAGCAAUUCAAAAGCAUUUUAGAGGAUGAAGAGAAGAAGAAGAGAAAGUAUAUUAGGGCCUUGUUUGAGCCCUAUUUUGGGGGGAGAAAAUGAAUUUUUGAACAGUGUAUUGAUGGAAAAUGUGUGGUUAAAAAAUAAGUCAAAAUUUUGAAUUUACGUGUAAUAUUAUUUUAUUGAAAAAUGUGUGGUUGAAAUGAUAUCAAUACACUGUUUAAGAAUGUAUUCUUUUGGAGAAAAUGGGGCUCAAACAAGGGCUAGAUUUCUAUAGCCAAAUAAUUGGGUUUUAGAUCAUAAGUUUGUUGAUUUCAUGUUUUUCAUGGUAAUAUAUUUGCAUCUUGCACCAUUUGAUGAUGUUACUCAAGCAUUUUCGAGGGAAAGGUAUGAUUAUCAACAGAGAAACCUGGUUUAUUCGGAGUUCAGAUUACUUGCAAAUUAUGUAAUUUGACCAAUAACAUCCAUUUCGUCGCAGAUUCAAAGGUUUUUUUGUUUAGUAGAAUAUCUUACCUUGCAAAUUCAGUUCAACAACAUAAUGUUUGAAGCAAUUUUCCAAUUUCUUGAGAAUGAGGAUUGGGUGGAUUGUGUAUUUACCAAUUAUGACUUUGGUUUCUCUUCACUUCAUUAAAAUGACAUUUGUUAUCUAGAUAUGAGCUUCAUUUUGGCCCUUUAUUGCAAGUCUUUC
Molecule: long non-coding RNA, 1296 nt
Filed under: Olea europaea subsp. europaea
Lineage: Eukaryota; Viridiplantae; Streptophyta; Magnoliopsida; Lamiales; Oleaceae
Source: RNAcentral